CUGGAGCCAUCCAUUGGUGGGUCGUACUGAAAUGGUACUGUACGAGGAUAAUCGUAAGCAGAGUAGUUUCGAGUCCAAAAUCGGCUCCGGCGGGCGGCGGCCGCAUCUCCAUCUCCACCCUUCCUGGAAACACGACCCCUCGAGACAACCAAGGCGAGAGCCCCAAUCUUCUUGGCCCCCUGCCGUUAAAGAAAAUUUACUUCUUCGCCCCACGUUCGUUGACCUGCAAGCUCCGCUCUCCAAUCUCUCUGCUCUUGCGGCAGGCAGCACGGCGGCCAAUGGCGCAGGACGAUCCGGUUGUCUCUGCGCAAUGGCUGCAGCAGCACCUAGGGCAGCCCGAUAUCAAGGUAUUGGAUGCUUCCUGGUACAUGCCACAAGAGAGCAGGGACCCAUGGCAAGAAUACCAGGUGGCCCAUAUUCCUGGUGCGCUGUUCUUCGACAUCGAUGGAAUCGUCAAUCGGGCAACUGAUUUGCCACACAUGCUGCCAUCAGAAGAGGCUUUUGCUGCGGCUGUUUCUGCACUUGGUAUCAAUAACCAUGAUAAAGUUAUUGUUUAUGAUGGAAAGGGCUUCUUCAGUGCGCCUCGUGUUUGGUGGAUGUUCAGAGUUCUUGGACACGAUAAAGUUUGGGUCUUAGAUGGAGGUUUCCCUCAGUGGCAAGCUUCUGGAUUCAACAUUGCAAGCAGCUGCCCUGAUGAUGCAGUUCUGAAAUCCAAAGCGGCAAAUAAUGCUGUUGAAACAGCUUAUAAUGGUAAAUUGGCAAAUGCUGUCACAUUUCAAACAGAGUUUCGACCUCAGCUAUUCUGGACACUAGAAAAGGUCAAACAAAAUGUAGCUGCUAAGGCUCAUCAAGUAGUUGAUGCCCGAGCAAAGGGCAGAUUUGAUGGUGUAAUGCCAGAACCAAGGGAAGGAGUAAGAAGUGGGCAUAUACCUGGAACUAAAUGUGUUCCAUUCCCUGAGAUGUUUGAUGGUGCACAAACGCUCCUCCCUGCAGAUGAGCUAUCAAAAAAGUUUGAGCAAGAAGGCAUUUUGCUCGAUCACCCGAUUGUCGUCACAUGUGGAUCUGGUGUAACUGCCUGCAUACUUGCCCUGGGCCUCUAUAGAAUCGGUAAGCAUGACGUUCCAGUUUACGACGGAUCUUGGACAGAAUGGGAAGCGCAGCCCGAUAAUGAUUACCCAAAAGUUGCUUCAACUGCCCCUUAAAUCAACCAUUCUGUAGUGAUGAAUGCAGCUGUUGCAUUCUGCGGCAUUCAGCCCAGAUCGUCAGCACAAUGAUACUUCUCUGUGGCAAGCUUUGCACCGAAGUCGCCCAAAAGGUUAUAGGGAAAAGAGAAAUAUCUUUUGUACUAUGGCCAAUGGCUAUAGGCCGAUAAAGAGGAAAUCCUGUGUCGACUUAAUUUAUAAUGAUGUUGUACUUAACAAAAUCUUGACUUGAAAACAAGAUUAUUUGUCUGAAUUGAUUAUGUUUCGGAGUUGAUUGUCGUUUCUUUUG
Molecule: ribosomal RNA, 1491 nt
Filed under: Triticum aestivum (bread wheat)
Lineage: Eukaryota; Viridiplantae; Streptophyta; Magnoliopsida; Poales; Poaceae
Description: partial small subunit ribosomal RNA
Source: RNAcentral